GGAGAGUUGGCCGAGUGGUCUAAGGCGCACGCCUGGAGAGCGUGUAGGCUCCAAAAGGGUCUCCAGGGUUCGAAUCCCUGACUCUCCG
This 88-nucleotide transfer RNA is filed under the name Bacteroidota bacterium. RNAcentral describes it as "Bacteroidetes bacterium (hot springs metagenome) tRNA-Ser". It matches the Rfam family "tRNA". Rfam says of the family: Transfer RNA (tRNA) molecules are approximately 80 nucleotides in length. Their secondary structure includes four short double-helical elements and three loops (D, anti-codon, and T loops). Lineage: Bacteria; Pseudomonadati; Bacteroidota. The record is from RNAcentral.